AUAUUACUCAGCGGAGGAAAAGAAACUAACAAAGAUUGCCUUAGUAACGGCGAGUGAAGAGGCAAGAGCUCAAAGUUAAAAUCGUGCAUCUUCGGUGUACGAAUUGUAACCUCAAGAGGUGGACAUAAGUCGAUCUGACGCAUAAGUCCCGAGGAUUCGGGCGCCAUAGAGGUGAAG
Molecule: ribosomal RNA, 177 nt
Filed under: uncultured eukaryote
Lineage: Eukaryota
Description: partial large subunit ribosomal RNA
Rfam family: Eukaryotic large subunit ribosomal RNA
Source: RNAcentral